UGGAGGUGAUGAACUGUCUCUGCCUGACCUUGUAGAGUGGAGGCAAAAAAACUGAUUUAAUGAGCCUGAUCC
This is a small nucleolar RNA of Lemur catta (Ring-tailed lemur), 72 nucleotides long. NCBI's taxonomy places the organism in Eukaryota, Metazoa, Chordata, Mammalia, Primates, Lemuridae. The record is from RefSeq and is a predicted model, not a curated record.